This 834-nucleotide unclassified non-coding RNA is filed under the name uncultured bacterium. Its description in RNAcentral is "partial contains 16S ribosomal RNA, 16S-23S ribosomal RNA intergenic spacer". The stretch from base 1 to 239 matches the Rfam family "Bacterial small subunit ribosomal RNA", at positions 1287 to 1533 of the family's 1533-position model. The record is from RNAcentral.
CACAGUUCGGAUCGCAGUCUGCAACUCGACUGCGUGAAGCUGGAAUCGCUAGUAAUCGCAUAUCAGCCAUGAUGCGGUGAAUACGUUCCCGGGCCUUGUACACACCGCCCGUCAAGCCAUGGAAGCUGGGGGUACCUGAAGUCCGUUACCGCAAGGAGCGGCCUAGGGUAAAACUGGUAACUGGGGCUAAGUCGUAACAAGGUAGCCGUACCGGAAGGUGCGGCUGGAACACCUCCUUUCUAGAGCAAUCACUUUUAAGUGAAAGCGCAAUACGACGACUCGGUAAAACGAGAUAUUUAGUCUUAAUCGUCUGUCAAUUAUAUAAAAUGAUGCAGUCUCAUAGCUCAGCUGGUUAGAGCGCUACACUGAUAAUGUAGAGGUCGGCAGUUCGAGUCUGCCUGAGACUACGAAAAUACGGAGUAGGAAAUUACGAAGUAUAAAGUUCUUAGAAUAUUGAAAGGAAAUUUUAGAGGUUGAGUAGCCGUUAUAAGUACUGUUAACUAAUAACUGUUAACUGAUCACUAAAACACGGGGGAUUAGCUCAGCUGGCUAGAGCGCCUGCCUUGCACGCAGGAGGUCAUCGGUUCGACUCCGAUAUUCUCCACGAUUUAAUUAUUGGUUAUGAUUAAUUAAUAAUUAUAAAACGUUCAUUGACAUAUUGAAACAAACAUAAAGAAUACGAGAGAAUACAUUGACUGUAUCUUAUUAGAUACAGAAAAAAUAUAAGAAUAAAGAUCAUUAGGUAAAAGCAUAAGCUUGAUAAGGGCGUAUGGGGAAUGCCUAGGCUCUCAGAGGCGAUGAAGGACGUGAUAAGCUGCGAAAAGCUGCGGGGAU